RNAcentral lists this ribosomal RNA (963 nucleotides) under Triticum aestivum (bread wheat). RNAcentral's name for it is "partial small subunit ribosomal RNA". The record is from RNAcentral. Lineage: Eukaryota; Viridiplantae; Streptophyta; Magnoliopsida; Poales; Poaceae.
AUGAGCCUGGUGCAUGAUGGAUUGGUGAUAAGCAAACCACCAGGGAUGAGGUUUCCCUUGAGAAGAAAUAUGCCGACAUCUGUUGAACCGGCCGGCCACCUCCACAAUGCCAAUGGCUUUGACACCGUUUCGUUGUCGGGUUCAGAACUUCAGAUGGGAGCUCAGGAAGAUUCCUGGUCUCAGAUUGAGGAGCUGAAGCAAGAGUUGGGCCAUGAGAAGAAUUUAAAUGCAGAUCUACGUGUGCAACUACAGAAAAUGCAGAUCGCUGGACACAAGAUAGACAUGUCCGAAACAAGCUCGUACCAAGAGAAAGAAGACGAGCUUAUGCUGGAUGCAUUGGUUAAGAAGAGUGACGGCAUCGCUAGUUCUGAACUACAAGAGAAGAUUCUUGAACUGAGUGAUGAAAUCGAGCUGUACAAGAAAGACCGUGAGGAUCUUGAGAUGCAAAUGGAGCAGCUUGCACUUGAUUAUGAGAUUCUGAAGCAAGAGAACCAUGACAUCUCUUCGAGGCUGGAACAAACACAACUGAGAGAGCAGCUAAGGAUGCAGUAUGAGUGUUCAGCACAUUUGUCUAUAAUAAGUGAUCUUGAGGCCAAUGUCAAGAAUCUGGAGAAUGAACUCCAGGAACAAUCUCAAAGAUUAGAGGCUGAUAUAGCAGAAGUACUGGCUGCCAAGGUUGAGCAAGAGCAGAGGUCCAUAAAGGCCGAGAAGUCUCCGAGGAAAGCACGGUGGAACAACGGUACCACUGCCGAGCGACUUCAGGAGGAAUUCAAGAGUCUAUCUUCACAAGUAUCUUCUGCUUUCAGUGCCAAGAAACGGCUGCUUGUGCAAGCAAGAAAAGAGGUCGCAGAACUACAGUUGCAGAAGAGCCAGUUGGAAGAGUUACUGCAGAAGGCCCACGAAGAUGUCGCAUCAGUCCAAGAACAACACCGGGUGAAGAUUCAGCAGUUACUUACCCCUUAG